AAAAAGAUCCCAUUUGCAUUUGGAAAACGAUAAGGAAAAGAGGGCAGGACACAUUUAAAUGUAAUGAGGUCAGCUUUUAUUUUUUUUAUUCUUCUAGAGAAAUUUCUCAUUUUUUGGGUAAGAAUUCAUCCCCGCUUUAAAGUGAAAACAUUAGAUAACCCAGGAGGCCGGGGUGCGGGAGCUUGUGCUGAAAACCUUCAGAGGUUGUGUCAGCGCGAGUUAAAAAGCAACUCAGCGGGGGGGAGGGAAGAAAGAUACAGACAAAGAGGGAAGAAGAAGGAAGGGGGGUCCGGGUCGAGUCCUCAAAGUGUCGGACUGUUCUACUUAUAAGUCUUUAAAUAGGGUGAUUCACUAGAAUGCCGUGGCUCUCAUCUGUUCCUGCUCCUGUUGAGGCACCCAGGGAAGAACCGGGCGCUGAGCAUCAUUGGAAAGUGGGCUGGGAAGUGAGCAGCAGGGCAGGUCGCGUCUAUACGUAGUUUUUCCAACCCAGAUAAGAUUUAACCACGCCCACUUCUGACUGACGAAAACAUCGAUACAGCGUCAGAGUGUCACUCUGCGUUUUCAUCCCACAAAAUAGUAAUCUGACUGUCGCUGCAUAGCGCGUUCUUAAGAAGAUUGGUGAAAAAGAGACUUUAAAUAAAUGUAUUACGUCAACAGAUUUGACGUAACUGUAUUAGGUUAGUUGAAAGAAAUAAUAUCAAGUUUAAAUAAAAAAGAUUAGGUUCAACUUAAUGUUAUUGCUUUCAAGUAACCGUUAUGUGAGAUUUUCCUGUGUAGCUGAGUACAUUUAAAUAUAUAUUUAAAUAUAAAUUCAACAUGGAUUGAAGAAUAAUGAGCUAGCAAACAAUAUGUAGCCUAUAAGCUCAUUUUACUAUUUGUCACGUUUGUACUCACUAAAAUACAGUAUUUGAGUAUAUGUACUUACAUUCCAACACUGUCAGAGUAUAUAAAAUAUUGUUGUAAUGUUUUUCAGCAUGGCUUGCACUGACUGCAAUGGGAGUUGCUACAGAGGCUAACAAAGGUGCGUCUCCAGGGCUUCAGCCGCUCACGCCCCAGUGAAGAAGUCUCCAAGCGGCAGGAAAUGAGGAGGAGGGACCACGGGAGGGGUAUUUAGCUAAUUAUUUGUAUUUGAUAAAUAGCCCAUAUUGUUUUUUUUUCCAAAGCUAAAGUAGACGUCGGCCUCCUCUUUUGACAUGCCGAUGCGGAAGUGGGCGUGAUUAAAGCACAGCUGGAUAGACACAGGCAGGUCAUGUCAUCAUCACUGGACUCAGACUUACCAAAUAGGCCCACAGGGAUCAAUAAAGUUUCCUCGUUAGUGAAUCAUUGUCCUGCAGAGCCACCGUAUGGGAAUAUAGAAAUAAGGACACAUCUUAA
Long non-coding RNA from Notothenia coriiceps (black rockcod), 1374 nucleotides. RefSeq lists it as uncharacterized. NCBI's taxonomy places the organism in Eukaryota, Metazoa, Chordata, Actinopteri, Perciformes, Nototheniidae. The transcript is spliced from 2 exons. The record is from RefSeq and is a predicted model, not a curated record.